AGACCCGAAACCCGGUGAUCUAGCCAUGGGCAGGUUGAAGGUUGGGUAACACUAACUGGAGGACCGAACCGACUAAUGUUGAAAAAUUAGCGGAUGACCUGUGGCUGGGGGUGAAAGGCCAAUCAAACCGGGAGAUAGCUGGUUCUCCCCGAAAGCUAUUUAGGUAGCGCCUCGUGAAUUCAUCUCCGGGGGUAGAGCACUGUUUCGGCUAGGGGGCCAUCCCGGCUUACCAACCCGAUGCAAACUGCGAAUACCGGAGAAUGUUAUCACGGGAGACACACGGCGGGUGCUAACGUCCGUCGUGAAGAGGGAAACAACCCAGACCGCCAGCUAAGGUCCCAAAGUCAUGGUUAAGUGGGAAACGAUGUGGGAAGGCCCAGACAGCCAGGAUGUUGGCUUAGAAGCAGCCAUCAUUUAAAGAAAGCGUAAUAGCUCACUGGUCGAGUCGGCCUGCGCGGAAGAUGUAACGGGGCUAAACCAUGCACCGAAGCUGCGGCAGCGAACGUAUCACUUAAAGCGAUUCAGCGGGUUACGAUUGACGGAGCGAAGCGACGUCAAAGCGUAUACAAAGUCGAGUCGGUUUAAGGAUACGUUCGUUGGGUAGGGGAGCGUUCUGUAAGCCUGUGAAGGUGGCCUGUGAGGGUUGCUGGAGGUAUCAGAAGUGCGAAUGCUGACAUAAGUAACGAUAAAGCGGGUGAAAAGCCCGCUCGCCGGAAGACCAAGGGUUCCUGUCCAACGUUAAUCGGGGCAGGGUGAGUCGACCCCUAAGGCGAGGCCGAAAGGCGUAGUCGAUGGGAAACGGGUUAAUAUUCC
RNAcentral lists this ribosomal RNA (813 nucleotides) under Salmonella enterica subsp. enterica serovar Anatum. RNAcentral describes it as "partial 23S ribosomal RNA". It matches the Rfam family "Bacterial large subunit ribosomal RNA", at positions 711 to 1439 of the family's 2925-position model. The record is from RNAcentral. RNAcentral also lists the same sequence under 1 other name. Lineage: Bacteria; Pseudomonadati; Pseudomonadota; Gammaproteobacteria; Enterobacterales; Enterobacteriaceae.